This 229-nucleotide ribosomal RNA is filed under the name uncultured bacterium. RNAcentral describes it as "partial 16S ribosomal RNA". It matches the Rfam family "Bacterial small subunit ribosomal RNA", at positions 15 to 246 of the family's 1533-position model. The record is from RNAcentral.
GAUCAUGGCUCAGAUUGAACGCUCGCGGCAGGCCUAACACAUGCAAGUCGAGCGGAUGAAGAGAGCUUGCUCUCUGAUUCAGCGGCGGACGGGUGAGUAAUGCCUAGGAAUCUGCCUGAUAGUGGGGGACAACGUUUCGAAAGGAACGCUAAUACCGCAUACGUCCUACGGGAGAAAGCAGGGGACCUUCGGGCCUUGCGCUAUCAGAUGAGCCUAGGUCGGAUUAGGU